RNAcentral lists this ribosomal RNA (497 nucleotides) under uncultured bacterium. RNAcentral describes it as "partial 16S ribosomal RNA". It matches the Rfam family "Bacterial small subunit ribosomal RNA", at positions 28 to 507 of the family's 1533-position model. The record is from RNAcentral.
GAUGAACGCUGGCGGCGUGCCUAAUACAUGCAAGUCGAGCGAACAGACGAGGAGCUUGCUCCUCUGACGUUAGCGGCGGACGGGUGAGUAACACGUGGAUAACCUACCUAUAAGACUGGGAUAACUUCGGGAAACCGGAGCUAAUACCGGAUAAUAUAUUGAACCGCAUGGUUCAAUAGUGAAAGACGGUUUUGCUGUCACUUAUAGAUGGAUCCGCGCCGCAUUAGCUAGUUGGUAAGGUAACGGCUUACCAAGGCGACGAUGCGUAGCCGACCUGCGAGGGUGAUCGGCGACACUGGAACGGAGACACGGUCCAGACUCCUACGGGAGGCAGCAGUAGGGAAUCUUACGCAAUGGGCGAAAGCCUGGCGGAGCAACGCCGCGUGAGUGAUGAAGGUCUUCGGAUCGUAAAACUCUGUUAUUAGGGAAGAACAAAUGUGUAAGUAGCUAUGCACGUCUUGACGGUACCUAGUCAGAAAGCCACGGCUAACUACGUG